RNAcentral lists this unclassified non-coding RNA (585 nucleotides) under Hevea brasiliensis (rubber tree). Lineage: Eukaryota; Viridiplantae; Streptophyta; Magnoliopsida; Malpighiales; Euphorbiaceae. The record is from RNAcentral.
AUUUAUUCUCAGUCGAAAGCAAAUCACAUAAUAAAUUGGGAUUUACACUUUCUGUGUUCUAGCACGCCUUAAAGGGGUGAGAACCAUCCACUGCUAAGGCCACUGAAAUUGUAUCAUUGUAAAGACCUAGAGCACAAUGAAAAUCACUACCAAAAGGUUUUCAAAAUACCCAAAAACAAAUUAAGAACCCCUUCAGAAAAUAAAUAAAUAAAUAAAAUUAGCAGCAUAAUAAUUAGCCUAAUUAAAUCGAAUUAAAGAGUCUCCCAAAAGCUAGUCCCAAAGAAAAGAUUAUUUUCAUCUCGUGUGGCUUCACCAAGAUAGUCCUUCCCUUGAGUAGCUCCUUCAUCGAAAAGCCACUUCUCAACCAAUGAGAGUGGUGGCAUUUGAGCACUAAAAUUUGGUUUGCUUUCAUCUUGGAAAAGACUAGCCUCAUCAGGUGACAUGGUCUGAGAAAAAUCUGAAUUUGAAGAAUCAAAGGACUUAUCAAAACCAAAGUGUGAUUCAAAUGCUUCUUCUAAUUCAAUCCCAUUUUUGUCAGCUGUACUUGGAGUCCCUUCACUACAUAUAGAAUCAGUCGCAGCUAUG